ACCACCUCCAGGGCCACAAGAGGGUGCUUUCCUCCUUUCAGGUUAUGCCUUUUUGAAAUGCAGCUCUUCAGACUUCUUAGAGGCACAUGCGUGGCUGGGAAGUGUCUAUGGGUUGAUUCCUUUGUGAAUUAUAUGGAGCUGACGCGGCUGAAACCCACAGUGACCCAGACGAGGACAGAAGCUGGUCCUGAAAGAGUGGCUUCCGCCCCUAUGUACAAAACAGAAACAGGACGUGGUGGUACAAGCAAAUGGAAAAA
Molecule: long non-coding RNA, 257 nt
Organism: Balaenoptera ricei (Rice's whale)
Lineage: Eukaryota; Metazoa; Chordata; Mammalia; Artiodactyla; Balaenopteridae
Exons: 3
Source: RefSeq, a predicted model, not a curated record